AAUUCCCACUCUGGUAAAGUUUAGCGAACAGCCAGUACUUAGCCUUGGAGCCGAAGCCGCGAGGUUAGGUUUAAGCGUAGGCAAAGGAGCAUAAGAGCCGCAAUGCGAAAGCGUGAAGCUAAUCAGCCCCGUAAGUUAUAGAGAGUGGAAGUCGAUGUAUUCUCUUAUACCGCAGACAGCAAUUAGCAUUCGUUAUCGCAAGAAUGUUAAGGUUCCACCGGGGUCCAAGGG
RNAcentral lists this non-coding RNA (231 nucleotides) under human gut metagenome. The record is from RNAcentral.